UACGGAAGAUGCGAGCGUUAUCCGGAUUUAUUGGGUUUAAAGGGAGCGUAGGCGGUUCCAUAAGUCAGCGGUAAAAUCGUGCGGCUCAACCGUACCGUGCCGUUGAAACUGUGGGACUUGAGUAUGCGCAGGGUACAUGGAAUUCGUGGUGUAGCGGUGAAAUGCUUAGAUAUCACGAAGAACUCCGAUCGCGAAGGCAUUGUACCGGAGCAAGACUGACGCUGAGGCUCGAAAGUGCGGGUAUCAAACAG
RNAcentral lists this ribosomal RNA (251 nucleotides) under uncultured bacterium. RNAcentral describes it as "partial 16S ribosomal RNA". It matches the Rfam family "Bacterial small subunit ribosomal RNA", at positions 524 to 775 of the family's 1533-position model. The record is from RNAcentral.